Molecule: small RNA, 273 nt
Filed under: Cycloclasticus pugetii
Lineage: Bacteria; Pseudomonadati; Pseudomonadota; Gammaproteobacteria; Thiotrichales; Piscirickettsiaceae
Description: 5' ureB small RNA
Rfam family: 5' ureB small RNA
Source: RNAcentral
CUGCUGUGGACAAAUAAAGUGAAUAUGUGAAUCAACUCCACCUGCUGUGAGAAUUUGCCCUUCACCCGCAAUCACCUCAGUACCUGGGCCAACUAGAAUAUCGACACCGGGCUGAACAUCAGGGUUGCCAGCCUUACCAAUGCCCACAAUACGGCCAUGCUUGAUGCCUAUGUCUGCUUUAACAAUCCCCCAAUGAUCCAUAAUCAGUGCGUUAGUAAUCACCACAUCAACAACUUCUGCAUCAACGCCUUGGCAUUGGCCCAUCCCAUCACG